Molecule: ribosomal RNA, 253 nt
Filed under: uncultured bacterium
Lineage: Bacteria
Description: partial 16S ribosomal RNA
Rfam family: Bacterial small subunit ribosomal RNA
Source: RNAcentral
UACGUAGGGGGCAAGCGUUGUCCGGAAUCAUUGGGCGUAAAGAGCGUGUAGGCGGCUCGGUAAGUCCGCUGUAAAAGUCCAGGGCUCAACCCUGGAAAGCCGGUGGAAACUGUCGAGCUAGAGUCCGGAAGAGGCGAGUGGAAUUCCUGGUGUAGCGGUGAAAUGCGCAGAUAUCAGGGGGAACACCAAUGGCGAAGGCAGCUCGCUGGGACGGUACUGACGCUGAGACGCGAAAGCGUGGGGAGCAAACAGG